GACUACGCCCAGGGGGUGGAAAUCGACUGCAUUUUGGGAAUUUCCAAUGAGUUUGUGGUGCUCCUGGACCUACGCACCAAGGAGGUGGUAUUCAACUGCUACUGCGGGGAUGUCAUUGGCUGGACUCCAGACUCCUCCACACUCAAAAUCUUCUAUGGACGAGGGGACCACAUCUUUCUACAGGCGACAGAGGGUUCUGUGGAGGACAUAAGGGAGAUCGUGCAGAGACUGAAGGUGAUGACCAAUGGCUGGGAGACGGUGGACAUGACGCUGCGGCGGAACGGGCUCGGGCAGCUGGGCUUCCAUGUGAAGUACGACGGCACGGUGGCCGAGGUUGAGGACUACGGGUUCGCCUGGCAGGCCGGCCUCCGGCAGGGCAGCCGACUGGUGGAGAUCUGCAAGGUGGCCGUGGUCACAUUGACCCACGACCAGAUGAUCGACCUGCUGCGCACCUCUGUCACUGUGAAGGUGGUCAUCAUUCCGCCUUUCGAGGAUGGCACGCCCCGGAGGUAAGGGCCUCCACCUUUCAGCCAGGUGGUGGGUGGCAGCUCCUAGAUCGCUGGCAUGA
RNAcentral lists this small RNA (568 nucleotides) under Pongo abelii (Sumatran orangutan). RNAcentral's name for it is "retained intron". Lineage: Eukaryota; Metazoa; Chordata; Mammalia; Primates; Hominidae. The record is from RNAcentral.